This 301-nucleotide ribosomal RNA is filed under the name uncultured bacterium. RNAcentral describes it as "partial 16S ribosomal RNA". It matches the Rfam family "Bacterial small subunit ribosomal RNA", at positions 509 to 807 of the family's 1533-position model. The record is from RNAcentral.
CAGUAGCCGCGGUAAUACGGAGGGUCCGAGCGUUAAUCGGAAUUACUGGGCGUAAAGCGUGCGCAGGCGGUUUGUUAAGCGAGAUGUGAAAGCCCUGGGCUCAACCUAGGAAUAGCAUUUCGAACUGGCGAACUAGAGUUUUGUAGAGGGGGGUAGAAUUCCAGGUGUAGCGGUGAAAUGCGUAGAGAUCUGGAGGAAUACCGGUGGCGAAGGCGGCCCCCUGGACAAAGACUGACGCUCAUGCACGAAAGCGUGGGGAGCAAACAGGAUUAGAUACCCCGGUAGUCCCUGUCUCUUAUAC